Molecule: ribosomal RNA, 477 nt
Filed under: Triticum aestivum (bread wheat)
Lineage: Eukaryota; Viridiplantae; Streptophyta; Magnoliopsida; Poales; Poaceae
Description: partial small subunit ribosomal RNA
Source: RNAcentral
AUGGAAGGCACAAUUCCAAAUUUUCAAGUACAGCUCUUCAAGAACAGGAUCUCUGAAGGAACAACAAUUUACAAGCUUGGCGCUUACCAGGUUCAAUAUGCUAGGGAAAGAUACAAAACUGUAGAUUGUCCAUGGAGAGUAGUGUUUGCCCAAAAAACUACCGUGGAACCAAUUGUGCCUCAGCCACCAAACUUUCCCAAGUAUGGAUAUACCACCUACAAUGUACACAGUACCAAAGCUGCAUUAAACAAAUCGUUUUGUUGUCAGUUACCAGCAUCACAAGAAUAUUUGCGCCGAGCGGCGGAUCGAUUGACCAGAUAUGAGAAAAUCACAUCACAAAUAAUUCCCGCCGUUGUGAUGUUUUGGGGAAAAUUAGCAGAUGCCCUUGAUAGUUACAAGCUACAACGGUGGUCUGCUCAAGAACCCAUUAUAGUUCUAUUUGUUGGCAUGCCAGUACAUGAAUUUAAUGAAACUUGA